CACCAUUCCAGGUCUCAAAUAUUUCUUCUGGCGGUUCCUUCUUUUUUCUCUAUUGAGUUCAAGUAGAGAAGGUCGCAACGUGAAGACGGUACGUUUGCUCUCAUCCAGACAUAUAUCGAAAGGUCUUCUCUCAGAAUCACAUCCAGCAAGUUUCCAGCUACAGGAAGAACUUUUCCUAUCUACAGAAGCUUUUGCUUCUCCUUGUUUAACAUCUCGGAAAGGACCGCCUCGUGUGUCACUAUAACUUUCGAACGUUUUGCUCUCAUCCACACAUGUAUCGAAAGGUCUUCUCUCAGAAUCACAUUCAGCAAGUUUCGAGCUACAGGAAGAACUUUUCCUAUCUACAGAAGCUUUUGCUUCUUCUUGUUUAACAGUUCGAAGAGGAAUGCCUCGUGUGCCACU
RNAcentral lists this long non-coding RNA (402 nucleotides) under Ananas comosus (pineapple). RNAcentral's name for it is "long non-coding RNA (ACOM_LNC020544)". Lineage: Eukaryota; Viridiplantae; Streptophyta; Magnoliopsida; Poales; Bromeliaceae. The record is from RNAcentral.